RNAcentral lists this unclassified non-coding RNA (409 nucleotides) under uncultured Glomus. Its description in RNAcentral is "SSU rRNA". It matches the Rfam family "Eukaryotic small subunit ribosomal RNA", at positions 569 to 984 of the family's 1831-position model. Lineage: Eukaryota; Fungi; Glomeromycota; Glomeromycetes; Glomerales; Glomeraceae. The record is from RNAcentral.
AGCAGCCGCGGUAAUUCCAGCUCCAAUAGCGUAUAUUAAAGUUGUUGCAGUUAAAAGCUCGUAGUUGAAUUUCGGGGUCAGUAGGUUGGUCGUGCCACCGGUACGUACUGGUUUCACUGAUUCCUCCUUCCUGAAGAACCGUAAUGCCAUUAAUUUGGUGUUGCGGGGAAACNGGACUGUUACUUUGAAAAAUUGAGUGUUUAAAGCAGGCUAACGCUUGAAUACAUUAGCAUGGAAUAAUGAAAUAGGACGAUCGAUCCUAUUUUGUUGGUUUCUAGGAUUGACGUAAUGAUUAAUAGGGAUAGUUGGGGGCAUUGGGUAUUCAAUUGUCAGAGGUGAAAUUCUUGGAUUUAUUGAAGACUAACUACUGCGAAAGCAUUUGCCAAGGAUGUUUUCAUUAAUCAAGAAC